RNAcentral lists this ribosomal RNA (368 nucleotides) under Listeria monocytogenes. Its description in RNAcentral is "bacterial SSU rRNA". It matches the Rfam family "Bacterial small subunit ribosomal RNA", at positions 202 to 557 of the family's 1533-position model. Lineage: Bacteria; Bacillati; Bacillota; Bacilli; Caryophanales; Listeriaceae. The record is from RNAcentral.
GAAAGAUGGUUUCGGCUAUCGCUUACAGAUGGGCCCGCGGUGCAUUAGCUAGUUGGUAGGGUAAUGGCCUACCAAGGCAACGAUGCAUAGCCGACCUGAGAGGGUGAUCGGCCACACUGGGACUGAGACACGGCCCAGACUCCUACGGGAGGCAGCAGUAGGGAAUCUUCCGCAAUGGACGAAAGUCUGACGGAGCAACGCCGCGUGUAUGAAGAAGGUUUUCGGAUCGUAAAGUACUGUUGUUAGAGAAGAACAAGGAUAAGAGUAACUGCUUGUCCCUUGACGGUAUCUAACCAGAAAGCCACGGCUAACUACGUGCCAGCAGCCGCGGUAAUACGUAGGUGGCAAGCGUUGUCCGGAUUUAUUGG